RNAcentral lists this non-coding RNA (22 nucleotides) under Arabidopsis thaliana (thale cress). The record is from RNAcentral. Lineage: Eukaryota; Viridiplantae; Streptophyta; Magnoliopsida; Brassicales; Brassicaceae.
CUCUGGGGCUACACUCGGCCAC